GACGAACGCUGGCGGCGUGCUUAACACAUGCAAGUCGAGCGGUAAGGCCCUUUCGGGGGUACACGAGCGGCGAACGGGUGAGUAACACGUGGGUGACCUGCCCUCAGCUCUGGGAUAAGGCCUGGGAAACCGGGUCUAAUACUGGAUAUGACUCCAUGACGCAUGUUGUGGGGUGAAAGCCUUGUGCGGCUGAGGAUGGGCCCG
RNAcentral lists this ribosomal RNA (204 nucleotides) under uncultured bacterium. RNAcentral's name for it is "partial 16S ribosomal RNA". It matches the Rfam family "Bacterial small subunit ribosomal RNA", at positions 28 to 233 of the family's 1533-position model. The record is from RNAcentral.